AAGUCGUAACAAGGUUUCCGUAGGUGAACCUGCGGAAGGAUCAUUAUCGAAUAAACUUGAACAGGCUGUUUUUGCUGGCCCUUUUCAAAAAGGGUAUGUGCACGCUUGUCCACCUUUAUCAUUUCUCCAAUUGUGCACAUUUUGUAGACCCUGGAGCCUUUUUUGAAUUUCUAUUCGAGUCGGGACUGCUGCGUUCUUUUGAGCCAGCUUUGCCUUGCAUUCUUCAGGUCUAUGUCAUUUUUCACAACCCCUCUCAUACGUGUUUAGAAUGUUGGAUGUACCUAUAAAAGUUGGAAAAUAUACAACUUUCAGCAACGGAUCUCUUGGCUCUCGCAUCGAUGAAGAACGCAGCGAAAUGCGAUAAGUAAUGUGAAUUGCAGAAUUCAGUGAAUCAUCGAAUCUUUGAACGCAUCUUGCGCUCCUUGGUAUUCCGAGGAGCAUGCCUGUUUGAGUGUCAUUUAACUUCUCAACCACUGAUGUGGCUUGGACAUGGGGGUUGUUUGCAGGCUUUUGUUUCAAAAGGUCGGCUCCCCUGAAAUGCAUUAGUGGUGUCUGAGCCGCUACUAUAGGUGUGAUAAUUAUCUAUGCCUUUGGUAUGCUGCAUGGACAGAUUGUGCUGCUUUGAAAUGAAUUUGAUGAAUUUGACCUCAAAUCAGGUAGGACUACCCGCUGAACUUAAGCAUAUCAAUAAGCGGAGGAAAAGAAACUAACAAGGAUUCCCCUAGUAACUGCGAGUGAAGCGGGAAAAGCUCAAAUUUGAAAUCUGGCGGUUCUUGAACUGUCCGAGUUGUAAUCUAGAGAAGUGUUACCUGUGCUGGACCGUGUACAAGUCUCCUGGAAUGGAGCAUCACAGAGGGUGAGAAUCCCGUCUUUGACACGGACUACCUGUACGAUGUGGUGCGCUCUCGAAGAGUCGAGUUGUUUGGGAAUGCAGCUCAAAAUGGGUGGUAAAUGCCAUCUAAAGCUAAAUAUUGGCGAGAGACCGAUAGCGAACAAGUACCGUGAGGGAAAGAUGAAAAGAACUUUGGAAAGAGAGUUAAACAGUACGUGAAAUUGCUGAAAGGGAAACGCUUGAAGUCAGUCGCGUCGGCUGGAAAUCAACCUUGCUCUUGCUUGGUGUACUUUCUGGUUGAUGGGUCAGCAUCAAUUUUGACCAUCGGAUAAAGUCAUUGGGAAUGUGGCAUCUUAGGAUGUGUUAUAGCCCUUUGUCGCAUACGGUGGUUGGGAUUGAGGAACUCAGCACGCCGCGAGGCCGGGUCUUUGGACCACGUUCGUGCUUAGGAUGCUGGCAUAAUGGCUUUAAUCGACC
RNAcentral lists this ribosomal RNA (1309 nucleotides) under uncultured fungus. Its description in RNAcentral is "eukaryotic LSU rRNA". The stretch from base 643 to 1309 matches the Rfam family "Eukaryotic large subunit ribosomal RNA", at positions 1 to 649 of the family's 3401-position model. Lineage: Eukaryota; Fungi. The record is from RNAcentral.